This is a long non-coding RNA of Chenopodium quinoa (quinoa), 849 nucleotides long. RefSeq lists it as uncharacterized. The transcript has 3 exons. The record is from RefSeq and is a predicted model, not a curated record. NCBI's taxonomy places the organism in Eukaryota, Viridiplantae, Streptophyta, Magnoliopsida, Caryophyllales, Amaranthaceae.
GUCAAUUUGUGUAAACAGGUCGGUCUCGAUAGAGUCGGGUUGGGUCUAUCUCAAAUGGGAGUCUUGUUAAAUUUAAGUCAAAAUUUAAAUCGGAUUGUUUUUACGUCGAGUGAUCAGAUCGAAUGAGGUCUGUUUUUAACGCCUUUAUUACGUCGUCGUGGGCAUAAUGCUACAUUGACAUAUUGCAACCUUCCUUACUCGUACUAAAAUUCAACUCCCUCCACAAUCCACAUCCAGUGCCAAACAACACCACAACAAAUCAACAAUGGAGGAAGGGCAAGACUCGUGGACAUCAGCAGACAAGCUAUACCACAUCAUCUUCUGCUUCUCCCUAACACUCCUCUUCUCUCUCCUCAUCUCUCUCACUCAUUCCUCCUUCCUCCGAAAUCGCUCUCUCUUCUUCGCCGCUUCUCUCUCUCUCCUCGCCGGCGCCGCCAAAGAAGCCGCCGAUCACCUCGGCUUCUUCCGCUCCUCCGGCGCCUCCGCCAAAGACGCCGUCGCUGGUCGUCAUCGCUUGCUUCCUGCUUUCUCUCUCCAAAUUUUUCCAACGGAAGUCCAAAAUUGAUGAUGAUGAUGAUGAUCAGAUUGCCGGUGUUGCGCUUGUUUGAAUCGAGUAUCAUUUUCUCAGGUACUGUGGAUGGCAGUUACGUAACAGGCACGGAUCUCAAAUUCUCAAUACAAUGACUUUUGUUUUGCUGAAGAGGAGCAGUUGGCCAUCUUCUUUUAUGAAUUUCCCAUCAUGCAGAGGCAUUCAAAAGUACGGGGUAAAAAGAAAAUUUUGAUGCUUACAGCUCUUGUGUCGGUGGCUACUGCAGUGACAACAAACAUGAGAUUGAAGGCGAUGAUGAA